CGGCGCGGGCCGGAAGCGGAACGGGGCGGGGCCAGCGGCGCCCUCAGGGCUCCGGCCGAGGCCCGCAGGGGUCCGGCUGCGGCUCGGUGCAUAGAGCCGGCGGUAAAUGACUCACGGGCUCACCCCGGCACGCCUCGGAACGCAGAAAACAAGCUCAUUUAAAAAGAAAGGAUGGUAAUAUUCUUAAGAGAGUGUUACUCUGACUAAAAGAAGGUGUCCUUAAGAAGUAUAAUUAAAGCACUUGUUUCAAGUGUCUCUGACAAGCAUUGAGUGAAACAAAUCCUCUUGAGCAUGACCUGCAUCCACAAGGAUCGAGUGAGAAUUUCAACUGCAAGAUUUGUAAGGCUUCUGACAUUAUUCUAGCUAGUUCUACCCUUUUUGGAAUAAAAGUUCUUCAGUCUGCUUCAGCUCUAAAUCCUUUCCCAUUACCCUCCAACAGAACGUGGCCCUGCCACAUUACACAGAUCAAGAACAUUCAAGCAAAUCCAGAGUCUACUCACACCAGUUUUUAAUGACACUUUCUCCAGAAUCUCUUUGCCACUUCUGAAUUUACCCCGUUGCAGAAAUCAUCAGGAAAUGUCACAUCGAGAGGCCACUGGCCCCAACAUCUCUAUUUCAGCUGUGCACAGCAGUAAUGAGAUAGGUAAUGACUUAUUACUACAUAUAUAAAUAUAUAUCAACUAUGACCUCCAAAUCAGAGGUAAAUCAGUGACUCAGGAAAUUUUUUCUUGACAGGGGUCACCAAAUUCUACCAAAAUUACUCUUACUUUUAGAAGGAAGUGCCAUUGAAAUGUGAAUUCCCUCCAAAACUGUAUCUUAUCACAAAGUGAUUCAAGUUUUGAAAUAAUUUUUAUUUAAGCAUGACAUUCCAACUUUUCAGGUUUUUUAAUAUUAAAAUAUAUUACAUUAUAUUAUAAAUUUCAAAAAGGUUAAGUCUGACAAAACAUUAUCCAUAGCUUUGGGACCACUUUGCUUUUUGUAAACAUCCACCUCACCACUAAAUGAUGAGCUGCAAGGAGGCAGAGGGGAAUAAUAUUUUAAUACACUUCUUUCUCAAGCUGCGUAUCUUUAGAGACAGAACAACUGCUGUGCUGUAUACUCAUUCACAACUUACACCAGAGAAAUAAACCAUUUAUAAGCACAUACACAUUUCCAACAGAAACCAUACUACUGCAGCAUGAAACUGUAGAAUCCUUGGCCACCAGGAAACACAAUAACAAUCCCAUCAUUUAGUAAAUGUGGCAUAUACAGAGGAAUGGCUAGUCUGUACUGCACUAUACACACAGGAAGCCACAGGACAGAGAACUACAAUCCCUCCAUUAAAAAUACAAUUUUACUGAGACUAAUGCUUUUAUCAAUUAGGAAAAAAUGGAAAUGAGACAAUCAGAAUGCUUCCUGUUUAGCUUAGGACACGUGCAAACCCAGUAAAAAUCAGAUUUGCACGGUCAUACAGACCCCACUGUGAAAGUAUCCAAAGUAAACAAGGCUGCAAGAGCUCCAUGUACUGACUUGAACUUUACAAUAAUCUGUCAACAUCAAAACUGAAGCAGGAGAUAAGACAGCCCCAAAGAAAGUGCAUUUGUGUUCUGCUUUCAGAGCAAGAUGCAAACCUGAUGGCGUGGAUGCAAGGUAACUUGGCAUUGAUAUUAUCUCUGUUGUGUGAAUACAUCCUGCCUAUCAAUCUCCUUGAAACUCUGAUACAGAAACUACUGCAACAAAAGGACUUUGAUCUUGAGAUGAAAGUAUCUGAACUGCAGACUUGAGUAAACCUCCAGAAACAUGAGUUUUCCCUCACCUGACAUCCAUAUGCUCUCAGAGUCUAUGCAGGUAUCACUGGAGACAGUGGAUUAAUUGUUACUUGGUAAGUCUUGACCAGGGAAUAUCUCACAACUGCUAUUUCUCCGUGUCAUGUAAUAAUCUGGUUGAACAUAACUUCUUCUUUUAUAAGAUAACUGAGUAACAUUAAAUAUAGUUAAAAAGUGAUAUUUUUUAGCAUUAAGACAAAAUUGUGAGCACAAUAAACACCAAAAGCAAAGAUUUAAUAUACUUGCUACAACAUGAAAUUGCUCAACUCCUGAAUGAAUUUAUUUGCGUACACCUGCCCUUACAUGGAAAAUGCAACGUUUAUCAAAAGAUGUUACAAACUUUUACAAUGUAUCAACCAGUGCAUUACUGUUGUCCCAGCAAACCCAGACACAUUAGUUAUGUGUCCAAGAAGACCUCUUGCAGACACAGAUUUACCACCACUGCAGGGAGGGAAAACACCCCAACCUUUAAAACGCUUCUUAAAAGAUAAAUUAGUGCUGGUAUCAUGUGCCUAACAACUUUAGAAAUGCAUGUUUCAUCUACAAGAAUGACACAGGUUGCAUAAAACUUCUCAUAUUUCUGCCCAAGAAAUGGUAUUGUGGCUA
Long non-coding RNA from Zonotrichia albicollis (white-throated sparrow), 2411 nucleotides. RefSeq lists it as uncharacterized. The record is from RefSeq and is a predicted model, not a curated record. Lineage: Eukaryota; Metazoa; Chordata; Aves; Passeriformes; Passerellidae.